CCCAACCCUGUCUCCUUUUUUUUCUGUCUGCUCCAGUCCCUCUUGAGAACUGCCUGGGUUCAGGAAGAAUUUUGCUGUUCCUUGAGGCAGGAGGUGAGUGUGGCACAGAGGGAUGGAAGCUGCUUUUCACUCCCUGGAAAGAUGUGGCGUGCCCAAGGCCAUGCAGACAGGAAUGCUAAUGGGAAUAAGAGAUCUCUCCUCAUCCUUGCUGCAGCACCCAGCUUCUACCAGUGGGGAGUCACUUGGUGGAUUUAGGAAGAGGUGUCCUGGCUGGCUGAUAGCUACUAGAGCUCCAACAGAAGGAAGAAGAUAUUUCCUCUGCCAGUGGAGAGCUUCUGUGAAUGGAGCUGGUAACCUGAGCUGGGAGGAAACAGUGCUGCAAGGCUUAGGGGAAGAUGAGUUUUGUCGUGCUAACCAGGUUUGUUCACACAAAAAAACCCUCUUCAUAUAGGA
Molecule: long non-coding RNA, 453 nt
Organism: Vidua macroura (Pin-tailed whydah)
Lineage: Eukaryota; Metazoa; Chordata; Aves; Passeriformes; Viduidae
Exons: 3
Source: RefSeq, a predicted model, not a curated record